RNAcentral lists this transfer RNA (87 nucleotides) under Bacteroidia bacterium. RNAcentral's name for it is "tRNA-Ser". It matches the Rfam family "tRNA". From Rfam's summary of the family: Transfer RNA (tRNA) molecules are approximately 80 nucleotides in length. Their secondary structure includes four short double-helical elements and three loops (D, anti-codon, and T loops). The record is from RNAcentral. Lineage: Bacteria; Pseudomonadati; Bacteroidota; Bacteroidia.
GGAGAGUUGCCGGAGUGGCCGAACGGGGCGGUCUCGAAAACCGUUGUCCGACUUGUCGGACCCAGGGUUCGAAUCCCUGACUCUCCG